CAGCAGGGCGCCCGGGCCGAGGCGCUGGCUAUGGCGGCCGGUCGGGCGGUGGGGGAGCGGCGGGCGCCAUUUUGUGUGUGCGGCGGCCGGCUCCCGGGCGCCGCUGUCCGCCGGGGAGGCGGCGGUGAGCGGCCGGGAGCAGCGGGGGCCCCUCCGAGCCGAGCCGGGGAGCGCGCGGCGGCGGCCCAGCCGGGCCUCCCUUCGCCGCGAGCGGAGCGCGGCUCUUGCGGGGCCGCGCUGCCGCCGCUCCCGUGGCGCCGCGUCCCGCAGCGGCCGUUUCCUCCCCCCUCGGGGCUCCCGGGGCGGGGAGGCUGCUCUUGGCCUGUCGGUAGCUCCUCGCCUGCGAGCGAGGGGAGCCCCAGCGGCGGGGCCCGCUUCGCCCCGGCGCCCCUCUUGCCGGGGGGUGCGCGGCCUCCUCCGGGGCUGAGGGGAGCCCCGCUCCGCGCCCCGGCGCCGGCCGAGGGGGGCCGCGGCGGGUGGGGACCCCCGGGGGCCGCUCUGCCUCCCCGGCCCCUUGCGCCGGGUUUAGUCCCUGCUCCCCACAGAGGAGCCCGGGGCGCGUUUUUAACCGGGGGUUCCACCACACGCAGCCCUGCUCAGCCUGAAGGGCCGGCGGUGCCGCUCUGCGACCAUCCCCCGUGCUCCGGCCUGCUGCUCUUAACGCUGUGGGGGGAAUCAGCAAUAAACCUUUUCCUCAGGAAAAAAAAAAGCGAGGUUAAGGCGCGUCUGCUCGCCGUGAUGCGACAGCAGCAGUCUGAGAUCGUUGCGGAGCUGGUUUGUGAUUGACACCCAGUAGGAACAAAGUGGGGAGGAACAGUGUGAUUUUUAUAUUGAAAGUGAAAUUUGGUGUAGAAACAUGUUUCCUGGACGGGUGGAAGCUGCUUGUCGUCUCCCGCACGGUUACACAACACCCUUUUAAUACACCGUCUCUGAAAAAUAAUCCCUCCAAUUUAAUCCUUUGUUUCACACGUUUCGGCCAAACUGCGGCCGGGUUCCCGCGGGGAGUUCUCGCUCGCCGAAUCCAGUGGAUCGCAGUUAAUAUGGCCUCCGCUCUCCUGCUGCUGUGUACCGAGGCAGCAAUUAUCACUGUGUCACUUGUAGAGCCUUAAAAAUAAAAGCGCUUGCCUGUUGCUGGGGCUGAAGGGGGAAACUUUUCAAGCUGAUAAUAAACUGGAGCCAAGCCUGGCUUUGAGUUAUAAAUGUCGUUCCUCCAGCCGUUGGAAACGAGCUGUGGAAAUAAUUGAGUGCUUUUCUUGUGCAAACUCAGAAAAAUGUGCGGUUGCUUGGAUGUAGUGGUAGGCAGUUUUGGAGGUGUCAGGAUCUUCUAAGUUCGGUUUCCUGAUGAACCACGAGGAUUGUGACAGCCUGUCCACGGUUGGGAGCAGGAAGUGAGAGAACGUGAAGGGCCUGAUCCUGAUAGCCAGAGUUCGAUACGUUGCGGAUCGACCAGAAGCUGCCUGCUUUUUUGGGAGGCUGUUAGGUGAUGGCCAUAUUGGUGGGGGCUCUAAAGGACUCUUCCUUAAAUAGGGUUAACUGUGCCAGAGAUUUUCCUCUUUAAAAAAGAAUGCUGCUUGUAUCCAAUAAAAUAUAAUUAUUGGGAUAUCCAGAA
This is a long non-coding RNA of Dromaius novaehollandiae (emu), 1609 nucleotides long. RefSeq lists it as uncharacterized. The record is from RefSeq and is a predicted model, not a curated record. NCBI's taxonomy places the organism in Eukaryota, Metazoa, Chordata, Aves, Casuariiformes, Dromaiidae. The transcript has 2 exons.